This 292-nucleotide unclassified non-coding RNA is filed under the name uncultured Coprinopsis. Its description in RNAcentral is "sequence contains ITS2". The stretch from base 1 to 52 matches the Rfam family "5.8S ribosomal RNA", at positions 103 to 154 of the family's 154-position model. The record is from RNAcentral. Lineage: Eukaryota; Fungi; Basidiomycota; Agaricomycetes; Agaricales; Psathyrellaceae.
AACGCACCUUGCGCUCCUUGGUAUUCCGAGGAGCAUGCCUGUUUGAGUGUCAUUAAAUUCUCAACCUCACCAACUUUGGUUGUGUGAAGGCUUGGAUGUGGGGGUUGCAGGUCCGCUUUGGUGGUCUGCUCCUCUGAAAUGUAUUAGUGGGUUUGGUCCCCUAUCUAUUGGUGUGAUAAUUAUCUACGCCGUGGACUGGAAGACUAUUAUGAACCUGCUUCUAACCGUCCUUUACCGGACAAUACUUGACAUUUUUGACCUCAAAUCAGGUAAGACUACCCGCUGAACUUAA